This 29-nucleotide non-coding RNA is filed under the name Macaca fascicularis (crab-eating macaque). RNAcentral also lists the same sequence under 1 other name. Lineage: Eukaryota; Metazoa; Chordata; Mammalia; Primates; Cercopithecidae. The record is from RNAcentral.
UUGAAGGAGUUGACAGUUCCAAGGUGACU